This 497-nucleotide ribosomal RNA is filed under the name uncultured bacterium. RNAcentral describes it as "bacterial SSU rRNA". It matches the Rfam family "Bacterial small subunit ribosomal RNA", at positions 16 to 507 of the family's 1533-position model. The record is from RNAcentral.
AUCCUGGCUCAGAUUGAACGCGUGGCGGCAGGCCUAACACAUGCAAGUCGAGCGGUAGAGAGGUGCUUGCAUCUCUUGAGAGCGGCGGACGGGUGAGUAAUGCCUAGGAAUCUGCCUAGUGGUGGGGGAUAACGUUCGGAAACGGACGCUAAUACCGCAUACGUCCUACGGGAGAAAGCGGGGGAUCUUCGGACCUCGCGCCAUUAGAUGAGCCUAGGUCGGAUUAGCUAGUUGGUGAGGUAAUGGCUCACCAAGGCGACGAUCCGUAACUGGUCUGAGAGGAUGAUCAGUCACACUGGAACUGAGACACGGUCCAGACUCCUACGGGAGGCAGCAGUGGGGAAUAUUGGACAAUGGGCGAAAGCCUGAUCCAGCCAUGCCGCGUGUGUGAAGAAGGUCUUCGGAUUGUAAAGCACUUUAAGUUGGGAGGAAGGGUAGUAACCUAAUACGUUGCUACUUUGACGUUACCGACAGAAUAAGCACCGGCUAACUUCGUG